Molecule: ribosomal RNA, 301 nt
Filed under: uncultured bacterium
Lineage: Bacteria
Description: partial 16S ribosomal RNA
Rfam family: Bacterial small subunit ribosomal RNA
Source: RNAcentral
CAGCCGCCGCGGUAAUACGUAGGGGGCAAGCGUUGUCCGGAAUUAUUGGGCGUAAAGCGCGCGCAGGCGGUCAUGUAAGUCUGGUGUUUAAUCCCGGGGCUCAACCCCGGAUCGCACUGGAAACUGGGUGACUUGAGUGCAGAAGAGGAGAGUGGAAUUCCACGUGUAGCGGUGAAAUGCGUAGAGAUGUGGAGGAACACCAGUGGCGAAGGCGACUCUCUGGGCUGUAACUGACGCUGAGGCGCGAAAGCGUGGGGAGCAAACAGGAUUAGAUACCCCGGUAGUCCCUGUCUCUUAUACC